Molecule: ribosomal RNA, 123 nt
Filed under: Sinocyclocheilus rhinocerous
Lineage: Eukaryota; Metazoa; Chordata; Actinopteri; Cypriniformes; Cyprinidae
Source: RNAcentral
GGCCACAGCCAUAUCACCCUACAGCCCAAGACUGGUUGCCCACUGAAGCUAAGCAGGGUUGAGCCUGGUCAGUACCUGGAUGGUCUCGUAAAGAGUAGGGGUGUAACCCCAGUGUCCUGGCCA